UUGUUGGGGGCUGUUAAGUUGGGUUUUAUGGCUGAUGUGUGAGUUCGAAUUGCUCCAGUGCGCACCCAUCUGCCCACUGUACUCUUGCUUUGUCCUAAACCCUUUGCUAAAGUUCGUAUACUGCCUCUCUUUGAUAAUUGUAUACUGGUAAGUAGAUUAGUGUUAAGAAUCAACACCUUUUUCUUUUUAAAACUUAGCUUUCCACUUUGAAGAUGAAUCACUCCACCAUUUUGUCUUUGUUUUUUUGCAGCUUCCCAUAGUCGGUGAACAGUUGAACGGG
RNAcentral lists this long non-coding RNA (280 nucleotides) under Salvia miltiorrhiza (redroot sage). RNAcentral's name for it is "long non-coding RNA (SMIL_LNC013030)". Lineage: Eukaryota; Viridiplantae; Streptophyta; Magnoliopsida; Lamiales; Lamiaceae. The record is from RNAcentral.